GAGGCGGGGAGGCAGGUGGUCCAGGUGCGCCCCUGCCCGGGGGGGCGAGGCGUCCGGCGGGAAGGCUGCAGCGACCGCAUGGAGGAAGGGGCGGCAGGUGCGCGGCGCUGGAAGAACCGGCGGCUGGGAGAGCAUCUCUGCCUCGCCCAUCUUGCCCCCUCCCCACCUCCUCUCUGGCGUUGGGACGGGAGGCGGGAGGGAGGAAUGGAACCAGGGAGUCCGAAGUACAGCUUUGACAACUGUCGCGCUGGCCGGGAUCAGCAGAUCUGUUUUCACUACCUCAAGGUACACAGCCCCAAACACUGCCCAUCCCCAGCUCCCCAUGCACAUCUUUCCUGUUGGAGAAACCAGGAGAGAGAUGAGCAUUUCUGUCCCAGUUCCGAACUCCCCAGAGAGAUUCUGAUGGGCCCAGCUUAGGUCAGGGGAUAGUCUUCACUCAAGAGUUCCUGAGAUAACAGAGACUGGAGUAGCAGGCAUUGCAGAACUGAUUUUAUAAAGGAAGAACGUGUACCAUAAAUAUUGCUAGUUAAAAGCGUGUAUACUGUUGAGUUCUACCUCCUCAGAAGUCUAAAAGGUUUCCUUCCUUUGAGGGUGAAGAAGCAGUAACAGGCGUCCUCCAUCAGACCCCUCUCUGUGGGCACCUAGAACACUUCCCAUUGACGUCUGCUUCAAGGGGAGGUCACUAAAAGUGCCCCACAUGAUGCAGCAGACAUUUCGCUGGUCCCAGUGCCCUCCCCAAGACCUUCCAGAUGGUGAAGUGUUAAGAGUCUAAAAUGGAGUAAAUGAUCUGCAGAAAUUCAGUGGUGUCAGAGGAGCCAGUCCAAAGUCACUCGGCUCUAAACGCUGCGAUUCUAUUAUUUUAAUGAUGCCCAGGAACACAAAGAGGCACGACAGACCCAGAGAUAUGGCACGCACACUUGGGAAACCCAGAAUAAUGGGAACUCAAAACUGUUAUUCAUUCGAGAGCUCCUCAGUCCAAGAAGAUGCCACCUUGGUCAGAUGUGGAUGAGGCAUGACUGGACCGACCCUGUGGGCUCGGCACCCACCUGUGCUAUAAACUGUUCAUGUGAAAACUGUGUGCCCCUGGGUUGUCUGACCUGCAGCUGUACCGCACUUUUAGUACAAUGCCUGCCACCCACAGGAGUGUUGUCACAAUUGAAGUGAAUGCUAUAAAGCAUUGUGAGCAACUCAAAAGAAGGGUGCUGCUUAACUACCCAAAAUUACUAUACACCCACAGGUAAAGCUCUCUCUCUCUCUUUCUCUCUCUCUCUCUCUCUCUCGACACUCUUAAUAUGGUAAUAUAAAAGGGCAUUCCUCAGGGUACAUUUAAAUGUCUGUGUGUGUUUCAUUCCAUUUGUUAUUCAUUUUAACUUUUAAAUUAAUUAUUAUUUUCAGGAUGUUAUCCUUGCACUAAAGGAAACCUAUUAAUUUAAUGCUUCUAUGUCACUACUAUGGACUGAAUAUUUGUGUCCCCCCAAAAUUCAUAUGUUGAAAUCCUAACCCUCAAUGUGCUGCAUUGGGAGGUGUGGCUUUGGGGAGGUGAUUAUGUCAUGACGACAGAGUCCUCAUGAAUAAGAUUAGUGCCCUUAUAAAAGAGACCCAGAGAGCUCUUUCACCCCUUUCUGCCAUGUAAGGACAUAGUCAGAAGACCACAGUCUAUAAACUGGUAAGCUGGUCCCUACCAGACACUGAAUCUGCAUCUUAAUCUUGGACUUCCCAGCCUCCAGAACUGUGAGAAGUAAGUGUAGUUUAAGCCACCCAGUCUAUAGUAUUUUUGUUACAGCUGCCUGAAUGGAGUAAGACAGUCACCAUGUUUGAAAAAGAGACAUAUUUGGGUCUCUAGAAGCUGCCUGUCUGUUAAUUUAUGACUAAAAUUAAUUUGGUCAUGAUUUCCUCUCUAAAUCUAGAUUAUUUGGCCAUGUGUCAGAAACACAUGUUUGGGAAUUUAUUUGGCUAGAUGGCUUGGAUUGAAGCCUCAAAUUUUAAAAAGAAAGAAAAAAAGCACAACUAAACAGAAGCUAAUCAAUGUAAAUACCUGACAGCAUUGAAGCAGCCAGGGACGAUGGUGGCCUAAAGCAUCAUAGAUAGCUGUAUAGCUAUCUUUUUCUGUAUAGCUUGCUUUUACUUUUCCUUUCUUUCUUUUAUAAAAUAACAGCUUUAUUGAGAUGUAAUUCACAUAUCAAAAAUGCAUCCUUUCAACAUGUGCAAUUCAGUGUUCUUAGUACAUUCACAAAGUUGUGCAACCAUUGACACUAGUUCCAGAAUAUUUUCAUUACCCGAAAAAGAAGCCCUAUGCUUAUCUGCAGUUACCCCAUUCCCCCUUUCUGGAGCCCCUGGAAACCAUUAAUCUACUUUCUGUCUCUACGGACUUGCCUCUUCUGGACAGUUUAUAUAAAUGGAAUCAUACAUUAUGUGGAUUCUUUCAUUCAGCAUAAUACUUUCAAGGUUCAUCUAUCUUUUUUCCUUUUUAUGGCCAAAUAAUAUUCCAUCGUAUGGCUAUAACACACUCUGUCUGUUCAUCAGCUGAUGGACAUUUGGGUUGUUUCCACAUUUUAGCUACUAUUAAUCAUGUUCUGUGAACAUGAGUGUACAAGUUUUUGUGUAGACAUGUUUUCAGUGCUCUUGGGUGUAUACCUAGCACUGGCAUUGCUGGGCCAUAUGGCAACUCAAUGGUUAACUUUUUGAGGAACUGCCAAGCUGUUUUCCAAAGUGACUGCAUCAUUUACAUUCUCACCAACGAUAAAUGAGGAUUCAGAUUUCCCCACAUCCUUGUCAACACUUUUUAUUGUCUAUCUUUUUGAUGAUAGAUGAUUUAAUGGAUGUGAAGUGGUAUCUUGUGGUUUUGGUUUGCAUUACCCUAAUAACUAAUAUGGUUGAGAAUCUUUUCAUGUGAUUACUAACCAACCUUUCUUUGUCUCUCCUUCACCCCUACUAUUCCCAGCCUCUGGUAACCAUGAAUCCACUCUCUACCUCCAUGAGAUCCACAUUUAGCUCCCACAUAUGAAUGACAGCAUGUGGUAUUUGUCUUUCUGUGCUCAGCUUAUUUCACUCAACAUAAUGACCUCCAGGUCCAUCCAAGUUGCUGUAAAUGAAAGCAUUGUAUUUUUUAUGGCUGAAUAAUAUUCCACCGUGUAUAUGUACCACAUUUUCUUUAUCCAUUUAUCCAUUGAUGGACACAUAGGUUGAUUGUAUAUCUUGGCUAUUGUGAAU
This 3210-nucleotide long non-coding RNA is filed under the name Pan troglodytes (chimpanzee). RNAcentral's name for it is "bidirectional promoter lncRNA". The record is from RNAcentral. Lineage: Eukaryota; Metazoa; Chordata; Mammalia; Primates; Hominidae.